GGGGAUUUAGCUCAGUGGUAUAAGCGCCUGCCUUGCAAGCAGGCAGUUGUGAGUUCGAUCCCCACAGUACCGA
This is a transfer RNA of Cavia porcellus (domestic guinea pig), 73 nucleotides long. It matches the Rfam family "tRNA". Rfam says of the family: Transfer RNA (tRNA) molecules are approximately 80 nucleotides in length. Their secondary structure includes four short double-helical elements and three loops (D, anti-codon, and T loops). The record is from Rfam. NCBI's taxonomy places the organism in Eukaryota, Metazoa, Chordata, Mammalia, Rodentia, Caviidae.